UUUCAGUAACUUUUCGAAGAUAUUUUGUUACAAGUUAUUCCGAUAAUCGAUUAAAAGCAGGCUUAGAUUAGUGAUUAUUCAGCAUAAACGAGACACGUGGCAAGCCAGAGCUGCAGCACGUGCCCUGUACCACCGCCAUUCUUUUCUUUUAAUUCCAGUUCUCCCCUUUCCCUUUUAUUUCCACGUUAAUCUCUCCUCACCCCCUCUGCUAAUCUCUCACACUCUCUCCCGUACAUAUCUCCUCCAUUCCUCUUCCACCUUUGUUCCCCGUUCUUUUCUUUUCCCCCGAAACCCGCCGCCGCCGCUGUUCAAACUCCGGCCAGUCGCCGGCACCACCACUGUGUUGUUUCUUCUGAUUAAUUCACCCGCGAUUCUUCGAGUUCCUAGGCAAUCCAGACGCAGGCUUGCUGUUUUCGGACGAAUCCAGCCCUGUUCUUCAGCCUCCAGUGUUGUGUUAGCGCGGUAUAACCCAGUCUCGUGUAUAUAAUUCGAUUAUUAUGAUUUUGGUUAUUUGGGUCGGAUUGAGUUGUUGAUUGGAUGCUUAAAUUCGGAUUAAUGUUAGUUAAUUUCUACUAAUAUUAAUACUUAAAAUCAGGAUUGUGUCUAUAAUUAGCCGGUUGUUAUAUGUGUGUAUUAUACGUGCUUGUUAAAUGUGAAUUUGUAUAUGAGACUCGGAUAUAAUUUUGUGUUGGUAGUAACUAUCGGGACCACUAAGUUAUUUUAAUUUAAUUGUUGAUUGAUGUUUGAUUUGGAUUGUUGGGUUUACAAGUUAGUAAUUAUCUUUCGAGGAUUAGAAGUAAAAUUUUGAUGAUACAUCUAUGUAUGCCUCGACUUUUCGGGUAUAUGUGUUUAUAUUAUUAAAAUUUAUAUUUUUAUAAUGUGAUAAUUGAUUAUUAACUUUUCGUGCCUAGUUGAUCCUGUAAGUCUUAUUAAACGUAUUUUAUGUAUAGUAAAUUAGCAAUCCUGCUAAAAGUUUUCUUAUGUGUUUACAAGAAGAUAGUAAAUUAGCAAUCCUGCAAGGCGGAUUUUCUUAUGUGUUAUGUGUUUACUGCAAGUCAAGGCAGAUUUUCUAAUAUAUUAAGCCAUAUUAGUGGCUAUUCUUGGUAUUGAAAACAGGUGGAUAGUCCUAUAAACAGAGGAGGUGCUGCCGAAAUUUUGUUAGAAAUUAUAUGCAUUUAGACUAUUUAAAGGUGUUUGAUAGAUAAUAAGUAGAGACAAUAAUAUUGGUAUACAUGUCUACGUGAUACGUGAUCACUAGUAAUCUUUAAUAAUUAUAAAAGUAUUUCUUGGUUGACUAAGUUCUAUGUGUUUGGCUGAAAUUUAUGUUUAUAUAAACGAAGGGUAGUGAUUAAGUGAUAUUGAGGAUAUGACUUUGGAUUCAAAUAGUUAAGACCCAGUCUUCUAUCCUGUAGGUUCCGGUUAGAGAGCCUAACAGUAUAGUGCAGUCUUAUCUCUAGCAUUCUAUUAUCAAGGCAAGUAUUUCUAUCCUACUUCUCUAGUACCUAUAGAUACUAAAACCUUCUUUAUAUCAUGAUUCAAAUUAUUUGCAAUUACUCUCUUGUGAAGCAUAUCUAGUAUUUCCAAACUUUUUGGUUGAACGGAUAACACUUUUGGUAUCGACUCUACACUAUUAUAUGCAUAAAGAAAUUGUUUUAACAAAAUGUUAUUUUGGCUCUUGAAUUACAUGAUGGAACUGCAGAUUGUUCUAAAAAUUAAACUAUUGGGUUGUUUUUGCGUAAGAGGCUCGGGCACCGGCCCAGCGUGAAAGGUGGCUCCUUAAGCCCGGAUUACCGGAAUUCGUAAUAUUUGUCAACCUUGCUGAAUAAGCUUGGUUUAUGGACUAUAGCAUGACUGAUCAUCUGUUAUAGCCAGGUGUCCAAUGAUUUUUAAAGCCCAAUAAAAUUGUGAAUAGUUAAAGAGAGGUUAUCCUGCCUUCAAGAGAUAUUUGCUUAUACAUUCAUUUCUGCAGUUUUAAAUAUUUUCACUUCUUUAUUAUGGCAUUGCUGUACAACAAAUAUCAAUUUCAUUCUGUUAUACUUGCUGAGCAUUUCUUUGGCUCAUACCUGUUUAUUUUCAAACUAACCCCUUUCAGAUGCCAAGGAUUAGAGCAGCUGCUUAUAAGGUUUCCCAGAGUUAUCUUUUGUGCUAGGAAAAUCGCAGGAUGAUGCUAGGAGUCUUGGACUAAGUGUGGAUUAGUUAGUACGACUUGUUUCUUUGAAGUUGUAUUAUAGUGUCAGUAUGGUUGUAGUGGAAAACUCAUGUGGUAAGGAACCUAUGUCGUCGUUCGUUUGCAGUAACAGUUUAAACCUUUCGCAGACUUAAACCUGGGAAGAUCUUUGGUCAGGGGUGUAAUGGUAA
Molecule: long non-coding RNA, 2358 nt
Filed under: Daucus carota (carrot)
Lineage: Eukaryota; Viridiplantae; Streptophyta; Magnoliopsida; Apiales; Apiaceae
Description: long non-coding RNA (DCAR_LNC000450)
Source: RNAcentral